GUCAGCAUGUCCGAGUGGUUAAGGAGAUUGACUCGAAAUCAAUUGGGCUUUGCCCGCGCAGGUUCGAAUCCUGCUGUUGACG
RNAcentral lists this transfer RNA (82 nucleotides) under Arabidopsis lyrata subsp. lyrata. It matches the Rfam family "tRNA". Rfam says of the family: Transfer RNA (tRNA) molecules are approximately 80 nucleotides in length. Their secondary structure includes four short double-helical elements and three loops (D, anti-codon, and T loops). Further hydrogen bonds mediate the characteristic L-shaped molecular structure. tRNAs have two regions of fundamental functional importance: the anti-codon, which is responsible for specific mRNA codon recognition, and the 3' end, to which the tRNAs corresponding amino acid is attached (by aminoacyl-tRNA synthetases). tRNAs cope with the degeneracy of the genetic code in two manners: having more than one tRNA (with a specific anti-codon) for a particular amino acid; and 'wobble' base-pairing, i.e. permitting non-standard base-pairing at the 3rd anti-codon position. The record is from Rfam by way of RNAcentral. Lineage: Eukaryota; Viridiplantae; Streptophyta; Magnoliopsida; Brassicales; Brassicaceae.